AAGUGCCGCAAACAAAGAGAAGAAAUGGAAAUUUGCCUGGGUCAACACGGCGGGGAUGAAGCUGUCUUGAAAGAGAUGAGAAGGGAGUAUAAACUACACCUAAAAGGAGGGAAAGGCCCAGCCGAACCUUGAGCGACCCGCAGGUUUUGCCUACGGUCUUGCUUGCGUAUGUUGGAAUCAAGAACUUGUAGGCUCGUACCAUCUUCAGACAAGACUUAUAAGGUUUCCGUCGGAACAUUUUGGUUCUGCAUAUGUUGUCCGAACUUUGGGGAAGUAUGUAUAAGUACCCUGUCGCCGCAAUCCGACCUGUCGAACUCGGACCAUGUGGAAACCAGAUUUAGCCUCAAAACUAUAGUCAGGCGAACCUGAAAAUAAUGGUCGCUGCAGAAUUUGUACUUAGCAUCGUAAGGGGUUAUGUUCUCU
Rhodamnia argentea is the source of this 423-nucleotide long non-coding RNA. RefSeq lists it as uncharacterized. The transcript has 2 exons. Lineage: Eukaryota; Viridiplantae; Streptophyta; Magnoliopsida; Myrtales; Myrtaceae. The record is from RefSeq and is a predicted model, not a curated record.